UCAUGGCUCAGGACGAACGCUGGCGGCGUGCUUAACACAUGCAAGUCGAGCGGUAAGGCCCUUCGGGGUACACGAGCGGCGAACGGGUGAGUAACACGUGGGUGAUCUGCCUCGUACUNUGGGAUAAGCCUGGGAAACUGGGUCUAAUACCGGAUAUGACCACGAAUCGCAUGGUUUGUGGUGGAAAGAUUUAUCGGUGCGAGAUGGGCCCGCGGCCUAUCAGCUUGUUGGUGGGGUAAUGGCCUACCAAGGCGACGACGGGUAGCCGGCCUGAGAGGGCGACCGGCCACACUGGGACUGAGACACGGCCCAGACUCCUACGGGAGGCAGCAGUGGGGAAUAUUGCACAAUGGGCGGAAGCCUGAUGCAGCGACGCCGCGUGAGGGAUGACGGCCUUCGGGUUGUAAACCUCUUUCGACAGGGACGAAGCGCAAGUGACGGUACC
This 445-nucleotide ribosomal RNA is filed under the name Nocardia sp. HK3. RNAcentral's name for it is "bacterial SSU rRNA". It matches the Rfam family "Bacterial small subunit ribosomal RNA", at positions 17 to 479 of the family's 1533-position model. Lineage: Bacteria; Bacillati; Actinomycetota; Actinomycetes; Mycobacteriales; Nocardiaceae. The record is from RNAcentral.